RNAcentral lists this ribosomal RNA (460 nucleotides) under uncultured bacterium. RNAcentral's name for it is "partial 16S ribosomal RNA". It matches the Rfam family "Bacterial small subunit ribosomal RNA", at positions 338 to 795 of the family's 1533-position model. The record is from RNAcentral.
CCUACGGGUGGCAGCAGUGAGGAAUAUUGGUCAAUGGGCGCGAGCCUGAACCAGCCAAGUCGCGUGAGGGAAGACGGCCCUAAGGGUUGUAAACCUCUUUUGCCGGGGAGCAACGGCCGCCACGUGUGGCGCGACUGGGAGUACCCGGAGAAAAAGCAUCGGCUAACUCCGUGCCAGCAGCCGCGGUAAUACGGAGGAUGCGAGCGUUAUCCGGAUUUAUUGGGUUUAAGGGGUGCGUAGGCGGAGCGUUAAGUCAGUGGUCAAAUUGAGGGGCUCAACCCCUUCCCGCCAUUGAAACUGGCGCUCUCGAGUGGAAGAGAAGUAUGCGGAAUGCGCGGUGUAGCGGUGAAAUGCAUAGAUAUCACGCAGAACCCCGAUUGCGAAGGCAGCAUGCCGGCUUCCUACUGACGCUGAAGCACGAAAGCGUGGGUAUCGAACAGGAUUAGAUACCCCGGUAGUC